Ficedula albicollis (Collared flycatcher) is the source of this 216-nucleotide long non-coding RNA. RefSeq lists it as uncharacterized. The transcript is spliced from 3 exons. The record is from RefSeq and is a predicted model, not a curated record. Lineage: Eukaryota; Metazoa; Chordata; Aves; Passeriformes; Muscicapidae.
AGCUGUGCUUAUACAACAAAAUGAGCAACCCUGCUCUGGCUGGUUGAGACAAGUGAGGAUACACAGCAGUCAGAAGAAUACUACCCAGCUCUCCUAAGUCCACAAACAUCUUAUACCAUGCCAGCCACCACACCCCUUUCUCCUGGAAGCCAAGAGGACACAGAGACAGGACCAGGAAAUUCCUGAGGAUGAGACCCACAACUGGAAGCCCCAAAA